RNAcentral lists this ribosomal RNA (251 nucleotides) under uncultured bacterium. Its description in RNAcentral is "partial 16S ribosomal RNA". It matches the Rfam family "Bacterial small subunit ribosomal RNA", at positions 103 to 354 of the family's 1533-position model. The record is from RNAcentral.
CGGGUGAGUAACGCGUGGGCAACCUGCCUUAUACAGGGGGAUAACAGCUGGAAACAGCUGCUAAUACCGCAUAAGCGCACAGCGGCGCAUGACGCAGUGUGAAAAACUGAGGUGGUAUAAGAUGGGCCCGCGUCUGAUUAGCUGGUUGGGAGGGUAACGGCCUACCAAGGCGACGAUCAGUAGCCGGCCUGAGAGGGUGGACGGCCACAUUGGGACUGAGACACGGCCCAAACUCCUACGGGAGGCAGCAG